Molecule: ribosomal RNA, 504 nt
Filed under: uncultured bacterium
Lineage: Bacteria
Description: bacterial SSU rRNA
Rfam family: Bacterial small subunit ribosomal RNA
Source: RNAcentral
AACAACGCUGGCGGCGUGCCUAACACAUGCAAGUCGAACGAGAAAGCGGGCUUCGGCCCGUAAGUACAGUGGCAGACGGGUGAGUAACACGUGGGUAACCUGCCCGGAGGUGGGGGAUAACCCUUCGAAAGGAGGGCUAAUACCGCAUAAUAUCUCGUGCAUUUCGAUAAACGAGAUCAAAGCUUGCCUCUACUUGUAAGCUAGCACCACCGGAGGGGCCCGCGCCCCAUUAGCUUGUUGGUGAGGUAACGGCUCACCAAGGCGACGAUGGGUAGCCGGCCUGAGAGGGUGAUCGGCCACACUGGAACUGAGACACGGUCCAGACUCCUACGGGAGGCAGCAGUGAGGAAUUUUGCGCAAUGGGCGAAAGCCUGACGCAGCGACGCCGCGUGGAGGACGAAGGCCUUCGGGUCGUAAACUCCUGUCAAGCGGGACGAAAUCGGGGCGGGCGAAUAGUCCGUCUCGUUGACGGUACCGCUGGAGGAAGCCCCGGCUAACUCCGUG